UGGGGAAUAUUGCACAAUGGGCGCAAGCCUGAUGCAGCCAUGCCGCGUGUAUGAAGAAGGCCUUCGGGUUGUAAAGUACUUUCAGCGAGGAGGAAGGCGUUGUGGUUAAUAACCGCAGCGAUUGACGUUACUCGCAGAAGAAGCACCGGCUAACUCCGUGCCAGCAGCCGCGGUAAUACGGAGGGUGCAAGCGUUAAUCGGAAUUACUGGGUGUAAAGCGCACGCAGGCGGUCUGUCAAGUCGGAUGUGAAAUCCCCGGGCUCAACCUGGGAACUGCAUCCGAAACUGGCAGGCUAGAGUCUUGUAGAGGGGGGUAGAAUUCCAGGUGUAGCGGUGAAAUGCGUAGAGAUCUGGAGGAAUACCGGUGGCGAAGGCGGCCCCCGGGACAAAGACUGACGCUCAGGUGCGAAAGCGUGGGGAGCAAACA
This 427-nucleotide ribosomal RNA is filed under the name uncultured bacterium. RNAcentral's name for it is "partial 16S ribosomal RNA". It matches the Rfam family "Bacterial small subunit ribosomal RNA", at positions 355 to 774 of the family's 1533-position model. The record is from RNAcentral.